Molecule: ribosomal RNA, 253 nt
Filed under: uncultured bacterium
Lineage: Bacteria
Description: partial 16S ribosomal RNA
Rfam family: Bacterial small subunit ribosomal RNA
Source: RNAcentral
UACGAAGGGGGCUAGCGUUGUUCGGAAUUACUGGGUGUAAAGCGCGCGCAGGCGGUCUUCCAAGUCAGUGGUGAAAGCCCGGAGCUCAACUCCGGAACUGCCAUUGAAACUGUUGGACUUGAGUACGAGAGAGGUGAGUGGAAUUCCCAGUGUAGAGGUGAAAUUCGUAGAUAUUGGGAAGAACACCGGUGGCGAAGGCGGCUCACUGGCUCGUAACUGACGCUCAGGCGCGACAGCGUGGGGAUCAAACAGG